AAGAGAAGAAAACUAUGAAUUGAUUUUUGCAAAAGGAAAUCAUUCGAGCCAUUGGCGAACAUCAAAAUUUGCUCGCUACAUUUUGCAGAAGACGCGUACGAAACAGGGUGUACAAAGAAAUUUCUUCAUCAAAUAGAGUGCGAGGAAUCAUUUCGAUUACGGUUAAAGAGCAAUGCUGUGCCAACAUUAAACAAACCAUUAUCUGUAACCCCAUCAACUAAGUGGCAUUUUUUCUAAGAAAAGCAACGUAAAAAGGACAUUACAGAACUUUUAGCAGAUAGUGAAACCCCUAUUACACAAGAAUAAUCUAAUGAAGACGAAGAAACAGAAAA
Xenia sp. Carnegie-2017 is the source of this 332-nucleotide long non-coding RNA. RefSeq lists it as uncharacterized. NCBI's taxonomy places the organism in Eukaryota, Metazoa, Cnidaria, Anthozoa, Malacalcyonacea, Xeniidae. The record is from RefSeq and is a predicted model, not a curated record. The transcript is spliced from 2 exons.